RNAcentral lists this ribosomal RNA (468 nucleotides) under uncultured bacterium. Its description in RNAcentral is "partial 16S ribosomal RNA". It matches the Rfam family "Bacterial small subunit ribosomal RNA", at positions 28 to 507 of the family's 1533-position model. The record is from RNAcentral.
GACGAACGCUGGCGGCGUGCUUAACACAUGCAAGUCGAACGGAAAGGCCCUGCUUUUGUGGGGUGCUCGAGUGGCGAACGGGUGAGUAACACGUGAGUAACCUGCCCUUGACUUUGGGAUAACUUCAGGAAACUGGGGCUAAUACCGGAUAGGAGCUCCUGCGGAAUGGUGGGGGUUGGAAAGUUUCGGCGGUUGGGGAUGGACUCGCGGCUUAUCAGCUUGUUGGUGGGGUAGUGGCUUACCAAGGCUUUGACGGGUAGCCGGCCUGAGAGGGUGACCGGCCACAUUGGGACUGAGAUACGGCCCAGACUCCUACGGGAGGCAGCAGUGGGGAAUAUUGCACAAUGGGCGGAAGCCUGAUGCAGCAACGCCGCGUGCGGGAUGACGGCCUUCGGGUUGUAAACCGCUUUCGCCUGUGACGAAGCGUGAGUGACGGUAAUGGGUAAAGAAGCACCGGCUAACUACGUG